This 1317-nucleotide unclassified non-coding RNA is filed under the name Hevea brasiliensis (rubber tree). Lineage: Eukaryota; Viridiplantae; Streptophyta; Magnoliopsida; Malpighiales; Euphorbiaceae. The record is from RNAcentral.
UGCAAGCAAAAGCCUCUGUACAAUAAUACCAAUCAAGGUAGUUAAAUUACCAAAUUUGUUUCUGUUGUUACAAUGGAGGGCUGUAGGACAACAUAGCAAAUAAUAAUAACUACAUAAACAAGCCAUUGAAACCAAUUAUUAACUACAUACACAAGCCAGCCUUUCGAACUGGAUCAGUGGUUUCUUCUUACAGCAUAAGCAUGGAAAAGUACUGCUCAAACUCCUUAUCAAUGGUUAGUUUUGUGGAACUUGGCUGUGAAUCUUGGUUAACAGUCCAUCUUCCAGAUGAAAGAACAUAAUUGUUAGGAUUCACAUUGGCAUUAAGCAAGUUUUCAACUUCUUUUUCUGUUGCGAGCUCAAUGCCCUCAGUCCUGCAUUCUGCGCAAGUGCAAUCCUCAUGAUUCCCCAAUCCCAACAAGUGCUCCUCAUAAUCCAUUGACGGGUCGCAUCCGGAACCGUGAUGUAGAGUACCCCAUACUCUGCCGGUAGGGGAUUGCUCCGGCCUAUCAGGCAUUAAUUUUGUCACUGAUCUGCUCUCCAAAGAAUAAAGGUUGCCCCACAAAUUAACAGAUGAAGUUGAAGCGUGAUCAGAUGAACAUGCUUUCAGACAUCCAGGAUCAAGUUUAGCCUCAUGAGACGUGACAGAAUCAGCAUCUUCACAAAAGCUAUUGCUGCCAUUCUCAGAUUCUAGUUCUAUAUCAUCAUCUUGGCCCCUUGCAGCAUUUUCUACUAUAAUCAUGCAUGCCGAAGAUUCUUUAGCUGCUGUGCCAGUAUGUGAAGAAGUACAUUCAGCAGAGCUCUGAUAUGAGCACACAUGCUUAGGUAGCGGCAUUCCCAAUUGUUCAGCUUGAAACUUCCUUUUCUUGUUAAAGUAAGCAAGGCUGGUAGGCAGUAACUUGCUCAUAUCAACACUGAUACAUGUAAGCGUACAGAAACUUAGAUCACAUUACUUCAUCUUUUACAGUAAUGCAGCAUAUGCUAACCACUUGUUCUAGGAAUAGGUAAAAAAUCUACAUCAGAAAUUAUACCUCUCAAAUCAUAACAGUUAUCUUUCAAGCAUUUGAUGAAGAAAAGGGGAAUUUUACUGACAAAUCUACACAGGCUGAAACUAGGUUCUGGAAGAGCUACUAUACACAUUCCCCAUUUCCCAUUGCGACGUCCUUAAUGCACUUUCUUGUUCUUCUCUGUGUUACUGAGUAUACCCAAUGAGUUCAAAAACUAAAGAUCCAAACUUGGUGGACUCCGUUUCUCAAAUUAAGAGUGGUCGCACUUGAUAAACAUGUCCCUUUAUUUCUUCAUUGGAAAUGAGCUAUCUUG